Chenopodium quinoa (quinoa) is the source of this 484-nucleotide long non-coding RNA. RefSeq lists it as uncharacterized. Lineage: Eukaryota; Viridiplantae; Streptophyta; Magnoliopsida; Caryophyllales; Amaranthaceae. The transcript is spliced from 2 exons. The record is from RefSeq and is a predicted model, not a curated record.
AAUGCCUACAACCCCCUCUAGGCAAUGCUGCCUACUCCCCCCUCCCAAAAUUACCAGAAUAGCCCUCAACCACCUCCCUACCCCCCCCCCCCCUAACCGCACUAAACGCUUUGUCUUGUUUACUCCGCCCAUAAAUUUUCUCCAUUUAUUUCAUCCAAUCGUCCUUCACCAAAUCCUCACAACGCAAGAUCAUUAUUGAGAUAAAAGAAGAACCGUGGAUAAAGUUCGUGAAUUACACUGCACAAUAGCAAGAAAAAAUGAUCAAAGUCAACAAAAAGAUGGAAAUUAAGAAGGCAUGGGAUCGCAAGCAACCGGAAUCAAUAACAUAAACCUGAAUUUUUUGAAUUUGGAUUUAGAAUUUUAUUAUGCUUGAUAUUAUGUGUUGAAUUGUAUUGUAUGUAUUGAUAUCCAAUAUAUUUGUGGUGUACAAAUUGCAAUUUGAUUUUAUAAAAGAGAAAAUGAAUCUUUCCCUUUUCCUUGAGUA